UACGAAGGGGGCUAGCGUUGCUCGGAAUUACUGGGCGUAAAGCGCACGUAGGCGGCUCUUUAAGUCGGGGGUGAAAUCCUGGAGCUCAACUCCAGAACUGCCUUCGAUACUGAGGAGCUUGAGUCCGGGAGAGGUGAGUGGAACUGCGAGUGUAGAGGUGAAAUUCGUAGAUAUUGGGAAGAACACCAGUGGCGAAGGCGGCUAACUGGUCCAGAUCUGACGCUGAGGUGCGAAAGCGUGGGGAGCAAACAGG
This 253-nucleotide ribosomal RNA is filed under the name uncultured bacterium. RNAcentral's name for it is "partial 16S ribosomal RNA". It matches the Rfam family "Bacterial small subunit ribosomal RNA", at positions 524 to 776 of the family's 1533-position model. The record is from RNAcentral.